GCAUUUUUAGCUCAGUGGAUAGAGCAUCGGUCUUCUAAAUCGUUGGUCGUAGGUUCGACUCCUAUAAAAUGUA
This 73-nucleotide transfer RNA is filed under the name Chorda filum. RNAcentral describes it as "tRNA-Arg". It matches the Rfam family "tRNA". From Rfam's summary of the family: Transfer RNA (tRNA) molecules are approximately 80 nucleotides in length. Their secondary structure includes four short double-helical elements and three loops (D, anti-codon, and T loops). Lineage: Eukaryota; Phaeophyceae; Laminariales; Chordaceae. RNAcentral also lists the same sequence under 1 other name. The record is from RNAcentral.